AAAACAUUUGCUGACCUCUGAGCUAGCUCACAGUUCAGGCAAGGAAAUUGAAGUCCUGAAAGUUUAACUGAUUUGUUCCAGCUCAGAUAAAUACACAAUGGUACAGUGAAAGAAUCCAAAAACGUAGGAGAGGCAUACACACCUUUUGUGGAUUAUCUGCUCAAAUCAAAUCCAAGAGGAUCAUGCAUCAAUGUCCAGACUCAUGUGGUGUCAAGACUUAAUGCUUUAUUAAAAGCAAUAAUUAUUUCAAAUGCAACAGAUGAGCAAAGGGAAGCUCCGGCUGGGCAGAGCCAGCCCAUAGCUGUGCAAUUUCAACCAGAGCAAAACGACAGACAACAUUGCCUUGAAAUGUGACUUCUGGAGACAGAGGUAGGGUAGCCCCAACUUCCCCCAAAUCAAAAUUAAUGCAAUCAGACAACGUGUGACGAUCAUAGGGACUUUCAGGGUAUUGAUGUUAUAUGUUGAUCAUCACCUCUAAAGUUCCAACCUUGAUUCUUAAAAUCUUCUAGGACACUUUCAUUUGAGUGAAAAUCUUUUUAUAAUUCAUUUUAAUUUUCAAAAGAAAUGUAAUCAGU
This 575-nucleotide long non-coding RNA is filed under the name Rhinopithecus bieti (black snub-nosed monkey). RNAcentral describes it as "lncRNA (ENSRBIG00000045312.1)". Lineage: Eukaryota; Metazoa; Chordata; Mammalia; Primates; Cercopithecidae. The record is from RNAcentral.